GCGGUUUGUUAAGUCGGAUGUGAAAGCCCCGGGCUCAACCUGGGAAUUGCAUUCGAUACUGGCCGACUAGAGUACGAGAGAGGGAGGUGGAAUUCCAGGUGUAGCGGUGAAAUGCGUAGAUAUGUGGAGGAAUACCGGUGGCGAAGGCGGCCUCCUGGCUCGAUACUGACGCUGAGGUGCGAAAGCGUGGGKAGCAAACAGGAUUAGAUACCCUGGUAGUCCACGCCGUAAACGAUGUCUACUAGCCGUUGGGAGACUUGAUUUCUUAGUGGCGCAGCUAACGCMCUAAGUAGACCGCCUGGGGA
RNAcentral lists this ribosomal RNA (305 nucleotides) under uncultured Haliea sp. RNAcentral's name for it is "bacterial SSU rRNA". It matches the Rfam family "Bacterial small subunit ribosomal RNA", at positions 575 to 879 of the family's 1533-position model. Lineage: Bacteria; Pseudomonadati; Pseudomonadota; Gammaproteobacteria; Cellvibrionales; Halieaceae. The record is from RNAcentral.